Molecule: long non-coding RNA, 5377 nt
Organism: Strigops habroptila (Kakapo)
Lineage: Eukaryota; Metazoa; Chordata; Aves; Psittaciformes; Psittacidae
Source: Ensembl
UUGGGGGUUUUUUGUUUGGGUUUUUUUUUUUUCCUCUUGUUAUUAGGCUACAAAGAUAUCUUGUGCGUGAAUGACACCAAUGGUACUCUGGUUCCCUUUGGACAAUACAGUGUUGUGCAGAUGUCCACACAGGAUCUUUUAGCACUAUCUUCAAGUAGCUCUGCCUGUCUCUGUGUUGUAUCACUAGGCACAUUCUGCAUUGUUAAUGAUUAAUUUCUAGUGAAGAACAAAUAAUGCAUCAACACAAUUUAAUCUUUGGAAGAGAGGGAAUACUGAAUAUAAUAUUCAAUGUGAAGAAGCUUCUACUACUUUGUUAGAAGCUGUUAUUGUUAAAGAUUUACACAUUCUACACACUUCCAAUUUUUCAAUGUGAUCAUAGAAUCAGAGAAUAUCAGAUUGGAAGGGACCUCAAGGAUCACCUGGUCCAACCUUUCUUGGUAAAAUCACAGUCUAGACAAGAUGUUCCAACACCCUGUUCAGCUGAAUCUUAAAAGUGUCCAAUACUGGAGAAUCCACCACUACCCUAGGGAGAUUAUUCCAGUGGCUGAUUGUUCUCAUUGUGAAAAAUUUUCCUCUUGUGUCCAACUGCAAUCUUCUCAGGAGUAACUUGUACCCCUUACCCCUCAUCUUUUCCAUGUGCCUUCUUGUAAAAAGGGAAUCUUCGUAUCCUUGUAGAUAAAGGUCUCCCUUGAGCCUUCUUUUCUCAAGACUGCACAAACUCAGUUCUCUCCACCUCUCUUCACUCGGCAGGCUUCCCUGUCCUUUGAACAUCUUUGCGGCCCUUCUCUAGACCCUCUCCAGACUGUCCACAUCUGUUUUGCAUUGCAGGGACCAAACCUGAGCACAGUAUUCCAGGUGUGCUUGACAAGCAAUGAGUAGAGCAGGUGCCCCUGGUGAAUCUGUGCUAGCUUUCCCCAAUCACAUGCUUCGUUUGGCUUGUAAUAGCCCUCAGGAGGAUUUGCUCCAUAACCUUUCUGGGACUGAAGUAAGACUGAUGGGCCUGUAAUUUCCUGGAUCCUCCUUUGAGCCCUUCUUGUAGAUGGGGGUGACAUUUGCUUUCUUCCAGUCUUCUAGGACAUCCCCCAAUAUCCAUGACUUCUCAAAGAUUAUGGAGAGCAGCCUUGCAACGAUUUCAGCCAGCUCUCUUAAUGCCCUUGGGUGGAUAUUGUCAGGGCCUAUUGAUUUGUAGGGGUCAAGCUCCUCUAGCAGUUCACAUACCAACUCUUCCUUUACUGAUGGUGGAUCUGUGUUUGCAUUAACCUGGAUUUUUGUUCCCAAGGCCUGGGGCCCAACAGUGCUGGUAAAGAGAGAGGUAAAGAAAGUGCUGAGAACUGUUGCCUUUUCAGCAUCUUGAUGACUAAUUCACCCCUACUGUUUACCAGCAGGCCAAUAUUUUCAUGCUGUUUCUGUUGGUUCUCUACAUGCCUGAAAAACCCUUUCUUGUAGUUUUUGACAUCUCUGGGUCAAUUUCAACUCAAGCUGAGCUUGGCUUUUCUAACUGCAUGUCUGCACACCCUGGCAAUGCUCUUGUAGUUCUCAAUGGGUAUUUGUCUGCUUUUUCAUCCCCAGUACUCUUCUAUAUGGUUUUGAGCAGACUCAGACAGCUCACACUUAAGCCAACGGGGUAUCUUGCUCCAGCUACUUCCCUUACCUUUACAGGGGAUGAACUGUUUUUGUGUUUCCAGAAAAACAUUCUUAAAAAAUUCACAGCAUUCACUAGCUCUUUUAUCCUCCAUGGAAGCUUGCCAUGCAAUCCCUUCCAUCUGAGCUCUGAGCGAGCUGAAGUUUGUUCUUCUGAAACACAAAACCUUUGUCUUAGUACUAACCUUCAGUGUGCUCAGCUGGAUCCCAAACUCUACAAUAUUGUCAUCACUACUACUAAGACUAUCACUAACUGUUACUACAAAGCAGGUUUUCUUGGUGUGUGAGUAGCAAGAUGUCCAGCAGUGCCUCAUUCCUGGUUGGCACAUCUAUACAUCCAAGAACUUGAUGGAUGACAUGGGAGCUGCUGUGUUGAUUUCCAACGUAUAUUUGAGUAGUUGAAGUCACUCAUAAGAACCAGGUUCUGUUGACCCAAAGCUUGCUUAAGUGACCCAAAUAUUGCUUCAUUUGCUGCCUUGUCUUGGUUUGGAGAUAAGUAGGAGGUGCCUACUGUAAGAUCCCUUUGGAGACUACCCCUCUGAUCUUGAAAUGGAGGCAUUUGAUAAGGUUUCCACAAUAGCUAUAGUGGACUUCUAUACAUUCAAGGUUUUCCUUAACAUAGAGUGUAAUUCUUCCUUGUCUUCUCUGCCUGUCUUUGCAAAGCAGCCUAUAGCUAUCCAUCACAAUCCUCAGGUCAUGUAAGCAUUCAUGUUUCAGUUAUUCCUAUGAUAUCAUAACUUCCUGUCCAGAUGUAGAGCUCCAGUUCCUCCUGUUUUUACCCCAGGCUGUGUAUACGUAGGCACUGGUAUACAUACACUUUAGGUGGUUGUCAUCUUUGGAGACAGCUGGUCUUCUGGUUGUCAUCUUUGGAGACAGCUAAGGAACAUUUGUCACUGCUCCAGUUGGCCUGACUUAUUCUCCAGACCAAAAAAAACCCCAAUCUAUAUUGCAGGAAAAAAUAUCUUCCAAAUAAUUAUUGUCUUUCAUUUUGUGGUUAAUUCUGAGUUUAUGAAAUUAAUCUGUGUACCUAGCAAUAUAAUUUUAAGUUUGCUUUUGACAGUUUUUUGAGAGAACCAAUAAUUUAACCAGUUUUGAACGUUCAACGUGGACCAAAGAAAGUAGUCCUGAUUUUGUGUAAAGUAACUUUCUGGUUUUGAAGUACACUGUUUUUAUUGGUCUAAUGGCAAUAAUGUUCCCACUUCAACAUAUUGCACAUUGAUUUUUUUUUUUUUUGCUUACAAGUUUUAUUUGAUUUCUGUUGUGGGGAAAGGCAUAUAUAAUGUCAUUUGAGCGGGAGCUCUAAUAACUGUAAGAAGUGAUUUAAUUGUUAUUUCCUGUUUUAAUUUAUGCAUUUCAUGCAUUAAGCAUACUCUAAUAAUGCCUUCCCUUCAUUAAAUCUGAAUAUUAUAUCAUGAGCAUAAUAUGCUGUAUGGUUUUGUACACAGCCAUUCAACACUGCAUUUGUAUAAUUCCACAUAAGCAGACACAAUAGUAUUCCUGGGUGUAAUGAAGUGUGGAUGAAUCAGGGCCAAAAAAGACCCAGUAUGUGACUCUAAUAAGGCUUAGAAAAACGAUUGUGAACACAAGAAUCUUUCUUUUCAGUUGCUCUUCUGUUUCUAGAAAUAUGCUUUUUCAUCAUAUAUGUAUUUCACUUACAGAGAAAAAUGUGAAGAUUAGUUGUUAGGAUGACAACUGCAUCCUAAUGUAAUUCCAAGCAAUUUGAGAUAGAAUAAGAUUCUGAAUGUUCUUCAUAAAUUAUAAUGGAGUGUUACAUAUAUAAAUGCUAAAACAUACAUAAUUUUAUUUAGUUACCAGAAUUUAACAUAUAACUGCAUCAGCACACUGGCAGAAUACCUUCUGGGAGCAGCCCAAGGUGAAAAGACUGUUUAAAUCCUCAGCUGCUGCUUCAGAAGGAAUAAGUGUUCUUUGUGUACAGGUGAAUUCAAUGCAGCUGAAAUUUUGUAUUGCAUUAGAAGUCAGAUAUUUAGUCAUACCUUGGUCGUCACCACCACAACCUUUAAGGUCAGCAGGAAAACUAGUCUGUGCUCUCUUACAGCAGUGAAAUCUUCAGCUGGGCUGCAUUAGUUUGUCUGCUUAACUACAUGUUCCUUCGUGCAAAUGAAGUUGUCAUAGAAGGUAGACAUUAACCUGAGUACAUCCAAUUGGAUGCCUUGUAGGUGAGAAAGCUUGUGUCCUACCAGCAUGCUGUUCCCCACACUUGUUUCCUAGACUUAUACUUGAAAUAAUCUUGUGCAUUAAGUUUAAAUAUAAUCACAGAGAUAUCUCUAAAUCUGCAAAGAUGCUACUGUUCAGGGUGUUAUCCCAGUACAGCAGGUGUAAAAACAGUUAGACUCCAGAGUAAUGAUCUAAAGAAGUAUUUUCUUUCAGGAAUACACAUUUUUUUCACUUCUAAUUGUUCAUCUUGUAGUUACUGAAUGUUUUAGGAAGUUAGUGUGUGAAUACUAGUAAGAUUUGUCAGCUGUUAAAGGGAAUGGAUUGUAUGUCCUUUUGUGCUUCUGUGAAUUGGAAAAAAAAAACCCAAACCACCAAACAAUUCUAAGGCGACAUAAAUACUCAAGAGAUAUUUUCAAUAAAAUACAUAUUUGAUAUAAAUAGCAUUUUGAUUUGAGAUCUAACUUUCUAAAUUGAAUUCAGGUAUUUAAUGUCACCAUUAUAUAAUCUGUUUCUGGAUUAUUUGUCAGUAUAAGGUAUACAGAUGAGGCCUUUAGAGCUAAAAAUCUAAAACCUCUUAAAAUUAUGUGGCUGGAGAUUUUAGUAGUUUGAAACGUGCUUAGCUUUUAUACAAGCAAAGAAGUUUUGAAGGUCCUUAAUAUUUUGAGGUUUUAGAGGAUAAUCUGGUAUUUAUGUAACUCAAAUUUUGACUGUGGCAAUAUAUGGAAUAGAAUGUAAUUCUUCAGAAAUGCUUACAGAAAGCACUAUAGAUAGAUACCUGAUUUACAGUUAGGAAAAGGCUACAGUAUUUGACAUCUGUAUUGAUAACAACUGGACUGUAAGCUUUAUAAAUACAAUCAGUAUUAUAACCAUUUGGAUUUGGCUGAGCAAAUAAGGAGGAGAGGAAGAGGGAAAUUUGAAAAUCUUUAAAAAUGAGAAAGGUAAAAAAUAUCUACUAGUCUACUGACAAAAUUGGGACCCUGCAAUACUGGCUUUCGUCAUACACAAUACAUCAUACACAAUUCAGGAUAAUAUCUCUAUAAAGUGUCUUGUGAAUAGAAUGCAUUCUGCAAAUUUGUAUUAGAAAUAAAUGGUCAAAUUUUCACUUGAUGAAGUUUCCUAAGUAAAAGGGUCAUGACCUAGGCAUUGUUUUGAAACUCGAAGAUAGCAAGAACAGUGAUGGAGAAGAAUGAUUUAACAUAUAGUUGAUUUAUAUUUUUAAACGACUACAUUACACUGCAAAAAAGGUAUUAAUUUUGAGUUGUGGAUGUAUUGCAUGUUCAUGUAACAGUUUAGCUCCAAUUAACAAAAAAAAAAAAAGGUGACAUUUAAACUGUAAAUACUGUAUACUAUUAUCUUUAUUUUUUUUUAGCAACUUUUUUAUUUCCUGGUUUGUGUACAGUUCUCUAUGUACAUAUAGAAACAAAAAAAAGCAAACCACAACAUUUUGAGAAACGUUGUAGUUAACUCUUUUGCAUUUUAACUGCAGUAAUGGUCUAAACAUAUCCAUUCAGCUGUUUGUUUAGUUCUAAGAUUUCAUCAUAUGCUUUCAGGUUCUUUGAAA